This 492-nucleotide ribosomal RNA is filed under the name uncultured bacterium. RNAcentral describes it as "partial 16S ribosomal RNA". It matches the Rfam family "Bacterial small subunit ribosomal RNA", at positions 29 to 507 of the family's 1533-position model. The record is from RNAcentral.
AGUGAACGCUGGCGGUAUGCCUAACACAUGCCAGUCGAACGGCAGCACAGUAAGAGCUUGCUCUUACGGGUGGCGAGUGGCGGACGGGUGAGGAAUACAUCGGAAUCUACUUUUUCGUGGGGGAUAACGUAGGGAAACUUACGCUAAUACCGCAUACGACCUACGGGUGAAAGCAGGGGAUCUUCGGACCUUGCGCGAUUGAAUGAGCCGAUGUCGGAUUAGCUAGUUGGCGGGGUAAAGGCCCACCAAGGCGACGAUCCGUAGCUGGUCUGAGAGGAUGAUCAGCCACACUGGAACUGAGACACGGUCCAGACUCCUACGGGAGGCAGCAGUGGGGAAUAUUGGACAAUGGGCGAAAGCCUGAUCCAGCAAUACCGCGUGGGUGAAGAAGGCCUUCGGGUUGUAAAGCCUUUUUGUUGGGAAAGAAAAGCAGCAGGUUAAUACCCCGCUGUUCUGACGGUACCCAAAGAAUAAGCACCGGCUAACUUCGUG